This 228-nucleotide ribosomal RNA is filed under the name uncultured bacterium. RNAcentral describes it as "partial 16S ribosomal RNA". It matches the Rfam family "Bacterial small subunit ribosomal RNA", at positions 355 to 575 of the family's 1533-position model. The record is from RNAcentral.
UAGGGAAUCUUCGGCAAUGGACGAAAGUCUGACCGAGCAACGCCGCGUGAGUGAUGAAGGGUUUCGGCUCGUAAAACUCUGUUGCCAAGGAAGAACGCUUGCGGGAGUAACUGCCCGUGAGGUGACGGUACUUGAGAAGAAAGCCCCGGCUAACUACGUGCCAGCAGCCGCGGUAAUACGUAGGGGGCAAGCGUUGUCCGGAAUUAUUGGGCGUAAAGCGCGCGCAGG